RNAcentral lists this ribosomal RNA (611 nucleotides) under uncultured bacterium. RNAcentral describes it as "bacterial SSU rRNA". It matches the Rfam family "Bacterial small subunit ribosomal RNA", at positions 888 to 1498 of the family's 1533-position model. The record is from RNAcentral.
GCAAGGUUAAAACUCAAAUGAAUUGACGGGGGCCCGCACAAGCGGUGGAGCAUGUGGUUUAAUUCGAUGCAACGCGAAGAACCUUACCUACCCUUGACAUGUAGUGAACUUACCAGAGAUGGUUCGGUGCCUUCGGGAACACUAACACAGGUGCUGCAUGGCUGUCGUCAGCUCGUGUCGUGAGAUGUUGGGUUAAGUCCCGUAACGAGCGCAACCCUUAUCUUUAGUUGCUAGCAGGUAAUGCUGAGAACUCUAGGGAGACUGCCAGUGAUAAACUGGAGGAAGGUGGGGACGACGUCAAGUCAUCAUGGCCCUUAUGGGUAGGGCUACACACGUGCUACAAUGGUCGGUACAGAGGGCCGCAAACUCGCGAGAGUAAGCAAAUCCCAGAAAGCCGAUCUUAGUCCGGAUUGCAGUCUGCAACUCGACUGCAUGAAGUUGGAAUCGCUAGUAAUCGCGGAUCAGAAUGCCGCGGUGAAUACGUUCCCGGGCCUUGUACACACCGCCCGUCACACCAUGGGAGUGGGUUGCAAAAGAAGUAGGUAGUCUAACCUUCGGGAGGGCGCUUACCACUUUGUGAUUCAUGACUGGGGUGAAGUCGUAACAAGGUA